RNAcentral lists this ribosomal RNA (253 nucleotides) under uncultured bacterium. RNAcentral describes it as "partial 16S ribosomal RNA". It matches the Rfam family "Bacterial small subunit ribosomal RNA", at positions 524 to 776 of the family's 1533-position model. The record is from RNAcentral.
UACGUAGGGUGCAAGCGUUAUCCGGAAUUAUUGGGCGUAAAGAGCUCGUAGGCGGUUUGUCACGUCUGCUGUGAAAACUGGAGGCUCAACCUCCAGCCUGCAGUGGGUACGGGCAGACUAGAGUGCGGUAGGGGAGAUUGGAAUUCCUGGUGUAGCGGUGGAAUGCGCAGAUAUCGGGAGGAACACCAGUGGCGAAGGCGGUUGCCUGGAGCUUUGCUGACGCUGAUGCGCGAAAGCGUGGGGAGCGAUCCGG